GAAGAGAUAAACCAAACUAGCGUCAUGUUGGUUGUCUAUCACCUUGCAUGACGUGAAAUGAAUAGAUAGACUACGCACGUAGAAACAUUUGUAUCAGGACCUCUGGACGCGGGUUCAAAUCCCGCCGCUUCCAUAU
This 136-nucleotide transfer-messenger RNA is filed under the name Staphylococcus felis. RNAcentral describes it as "partial transfer-messenger RNA". It matches the Rfam family "transfer-messenger RNA", at positions 235 to 374 of the family's 374-position model. From Rfam's summary of the family: Bacterial tmRNA, also known as 10Sa RNA or SsrA, is named for its dual tRNA and mRNA-like properties. Its role is to liberate the mRNA from a stalled ribosome. Lineage: Bacteria; Bacillati; Bacillota; Bacilli; Caryophanales; Staphylococcaceae. The record is from RNAcentral.